Molecule: ribosomal RNA, 446 nt
Filed under: Capnocytophaga granulosa
Lineage: Bacteria; Pseudomonadati; Bacteroidota; Flavobacteriia; Flavobacteriales; Flavobacteriaceae
Description: bacterial SSU rRNA
Rfam family: Bacterial small subunit ribosomal RNA
Source: RNAcentral
GAUGAACGCUAGCGGCAGGCCUAACACAUGCAAGUCGAGGGAGAAGCCCUUCGGGGCAGAAACCGGCGCACGGGUGCGUAACGCGUAUGCAACCUACCUUUCACAGGGGGAUAGCCCGAAGAAAUUUGGAUUAAUACCCCAUAAUAUUAUUGGAUGGCAUCAUUUGAUAAUUAAAAUUACGAUGGUGAAAGAUGGGCAUGCGUCCUAUUAGCUAGUUGGAGUGGUAACGGCACCCCAAGGCUACGAUAGGUAGGGGUCCUGAGAGGGAGAUCCCCCACACUGGUACUGAGACAGGGACCAGACUCCUACGGGAGGCAGCAGUGAGGAAUAUUGGUCAAUGGUCGGAAGACUGAACCAGCCAUGCCGCGUGCAGGAAGAAUGCCUUAUGGGUUGUAAACUGCUUUUAUAUGGAAGAAUAAGGAGUACGUGUACUUGAUGACGGUACC